AUUGAACGCUGGCGGCAUGCCUAACACAUGCAAGUCGAACGGCGCGGCGGACGGGUGCUUAAGGCCUGGGAAUCUGCCUGGUAGUGGGGGAUAACGUCCGGAAAGGGGAGCUAAUACCGCAGACUAUCAGAGCAGCCUAGGUCGGAUCGGCUAGUUGGUGGGGUAAAGGCUUACCAAGGCGACGAUCCGUAACUGGUCUGAGAGGAUGAUCAGUCACACUGGAACGGAGACACGGUCCAGACUCCUACGGGAGGCAGCAGUGGGGAAUAUUGGACAAUGGGCGAAAGCCUGAUCUAGCCAUGCCGCGUGUGUGAAGAAGGUCUUCGGAUUGUAAAGCACUUUAGGUUGGGAGGCGGUACCUACAGAAUAAGCACCGGCUAACUUCGUGCCAGCAGCCGCGGUAAUUC
RNAcentral lists this ribosomal RNA (407 nucleotides) under uncultured bacterium. RNAcentral's name for it is "partial 16S ribosomal RNA". It matches the Rfam family "Bacterial small subunit ribosomal RNA", at positions 30 to 526 of the family's 1533-position model. The record is from RNAcentral.